AAAACUUGAACAUUGUUUUGGGUAUCAUCGAUAUAUGUGCAGCGACCUAUAAUUAGGUUUGGUCGACGGCUUUUUUCUUAUAAAUCAGGUUUUAUAUAGUUCUCUCUUAAAAGCUUCUAGGCAUGAAUUAUCUAUAGGUUAAUUGAGGAGCAUGGCUGGCCUGGGAACAAGUUCUGGGGAUUGACUUUGCAAUGGCACAAUAGUCGAUGCGAGAAGAGAUUCCUCAACGAGGCUACAAAGUAAUAUAGUGGUCCUAUUCUUUGCUUUUGCACCUCUUUUUUCUUCUUUUCCAUACAUUUUUCUCACAAUUUAUUCUUUCUUUUUUUUCUGCAUUUUUUGUGACCUCGCAUUUACAUCACCUAAGCAAAUAUAUUAUGAACUGUAAGGUAAAAAUACUUCUUUUUUUUUUUGUAAACUGAAGGUAAAAAUACUUUUGAAACAAACUUUUCUUAAUAGUUUAUAUACUCCAAACUAUAUUGUGUCUGAUUUUAAAUCCCUUUCUAUAGUAAUUAUUCAUAAACUCAAAUAACAUGUAUUACCAGCAAAACUAUUAUAGUUUUUCUUUUUCCCAAAAAAGAACAAUAGGCAUGCAUAACUACAAAAGCUUGUAUUUUUGGAUGAAGAAUUCAACGCUAAGUUUGAC
Molecule: long non-coding RNA, 643 nt
Filed under: Brassica rapa (field mustard)
Lineage: Eukaryota; Viridiplantae; Streptophyta; Magnoliopsida; Brassicales; Brassicaceae
Description: long non-coding RNA (BRAP_LNC002321)
Source: RNAcentral